This 468-nucleotide ribosomal RNA is filed under the name uncultured bacterium. RNAcentral describes it as "partial 16S ribosomal RNA". It matches the Rfam family "Bacterial small subunit ribosomal RNA", at positions 28 to 507 of the family's 1533-position model. The record is from RNAcentral.
GACGAACGCUGGCGGCGUGCUUAACACAUGCAAGUCGAACGGAAAGGCCCUGCUUUUGUGGGGUGCUCGAGUGGCGAACGGGUGAGUAACACGUGAGUAACCUGCCCUUGACUUUGGGAUAACUUCAGGAAACUGGGGCUAAUACCGGAUAGGAGCUCCUGCUGCAUGGUGGGGGUUGGAAAGUUUCGGCGGUUGGGGAUGGACUCGCGGCUUAUCAGCUUGUUGGUGGGGUAGUGGCUUACCAAGCCUUUGACGGGUAGCCGGCCUGAGAGGGUGACCGGCCACAUUGGGACGGAGAUGCGGCCCAGACUCCUACGGGAGGCAGCAGUGGGGAAUAAUGAACAAUGGGAGGAAGCCUGAUGCAGCAACGCCGCGUGCGGGAUGACGGCCUUCGGGUUGUAAACCGCUUUCGCCUGUGACGAAGCGUGAGUGACGGUAAUGGGUAAAGAAGCACCGGCUAACUACGUG